CAGCCGCCGCGGUAAUACGGAGGGAGCUAGCGUUGUUCGGAAUUACUGGGCGUAAAGCGCGCGUAGGCGGUUACUCAAGUCAGAGGUGAAAGCCCGUGGCUCAACCCCGGAACUGCCUUUGAAACUAGGUGACUAGAAUCUUGGAGAGGUCAGUGGAAUUCCGAGUGUAGAGGUGAAAUUCGUAGAUAUUCGGAAGAACACCAGUGGCGAAGGCGACUGACUGGACAAGUAUUGACGCUGAGGUGCGAAAGCGUGGGGAGCAAACAGGAUUAGAUACCCCUGUAGUCCCUGUCUCUUAUAA
Molecule: ribosomal RNA, 301 nt
Filed under: uncultured bacterium
Lineage: Bacteria
Description: partial 16S ribosomal RNA
Rfam family: Bacterial small subunit ribosomal RNA
Source: RNAcentral